Monodelphis domestica (gray short-tailed opossum) is the source of this 604-nucleotide long non-coding RNA. RefSeq lists it as uncharacterized. NCBI's taxonomy places the organism in Eukaryota, Metazoa, Chordata, Mammalia, Didelphimorphia, Didelphidae. The record is from RefSeq and is a predicted model, not a curated record.
AUCUGAUCCUCUUUAAAUGAAGUAGGCAAAUGUAAGAUCUACUCAAGAGAGUGGCUUCUUUGCUUUGGGUUGCAGUGGCUGGUUCUUUCAAAAGCACCCGACUGUUCUCCCAGAUCCUAGACCUUUUAUUAUCUAGUCACCACAGGGACAAUAAAUCAGGCAAAAUCCUAUUCUUAGGAAGACAAGGUCCAAUGGAAGAUAUGGAAAUGACUUCUGCCUCACUGGUCACUUCUCCACGGAGACCUCGACUGCGACCAGUAAAUUACUGGAUCAGAUACCGAUUACCUAUCAGUGUGAUCCUAGUUGGAGUAGCAAUGGCUUUAAUUGGAUUAAUUAUUAUGAUAUUUCCUCUUUCUAACAACACUUAUGACAACUACUUGUUAUCAUCACUUAGCAUUUGCUUUGGCCUCUCUGUGAUCGUUGUUGGAUUUAUAGUGAUAUUUCUCGUAGAUCGAGUUGAAUUCUCAAGAACUUUAAGACUUAUCCAGCAAAAUGCAAGUUGUGCCACUGAUGUCAUGGAGGAUACAACAAGGCUUUAAACUGUUUUUAUAUCUUAAAAUUUGUGACAAUUUCAAUAAACAAACUUUACUAUGUUUUUUUUUUA